This is a long non-coding RNA of Pungitius pungitius (ninespine stickleback), 925 nucleotides long. RefSeq lists it as uncharacterized. The record is from RefSeq and is a predicted model, not a curated record. The transcript has 4 exons. NCBI's taxonomy places the organism in Eukaryota, Metazoa, Chordata, Actinopteri, Perciformes, Gasterosteidae.
UCCCUCGCCGUCCUGCCUUUUUCUCCAGCCUCCUAUCACCUCUUUCUGCUUCUCCGUGCAAAAACCGAGGCGCCACACAGAUCCACAUAUCUCAUACGCUGGGCGGAGAGUGAGCGUUUCUUAUUCGUCUCUGCGGUGCGGCGCGACUUCUGUCCAUGUGGAGCGAGCUGAUGAAUGUGUUGGGCUGUCACCCUCUGAUCAUCUCUGCUCCGAGCGCCUUUGGACACGCGCUGGCUUCUGACUGCCUCCAAUGCGCAUGAGGUCUCUCUCGCCUUCCCUCAGCCUCCCCUCUCUCUCUCAGACUCACAGAUACACAAAGGGAUAAUGCAAACUAUAGAAUAGAUCUGGAUCCUUUGUACAAAUGAACUCUGCAGAGACAAAAACACAUUUUCUUUCUCCCCUGUGGAUCUCAGCUGGUAAAUUCUGUUCUUUGUUCUGGUUAAUGAUGAAAUUUAAGAACACUCAACAAUUUCCAAUAACAUCUGUCAUUCAUCUGGGAGCACGCAUUCAACUAUGUAUGAAAUUCAGUCUAAAUUGCAGAUAAAAUCUGCAGAUUAAUUAGUCGUUUUUUUAUAAUUGGAGUCUCAGGACUUGAUUACCAGAGUAAGAUGCCUGUCCCUGUGUGUGUGUGUGUGUGUGUGUGUGUAUUUGGAAGAAUUAAUGAAGGCCGCUACACUUCUUCUCGCGCCAAGUGAUGGUGUUGGGGCGCUGCACUGAUUGGCGUUGGGCGCUUUCUGGAGCCCCUGACGAUGUCGGAGAAGACCUCAUCUUCCUCGCUGGCGUGCGCUGGGGUUUCCCGACAGGACACAGCUUCACGACACGAGAUCGGGAUUCGAUAAGGAUAAGGCUAAAGACUGACCUAAAUACUUCAGGGUUUUGAUGAUUGGACCGAAAGAGAGAUCAGAGGCGUCCGGCGGGCUCGUCG